CAGCAGCCGCGGUAAUACGUAGGUGGCAAGCGUUGUCCGGAAUUAUUGGGCGUAAAGGGCUCGCAGGCGGUUUCUUAAGUCUGAUGUGAAAGCCCCCGGCUCAACCGGGGAGGGUCAUUGGAAACUGGGAAACUUGAGUGCAGAAGAGGAGAGUGGAAUUCCACGUGUAGCGGUGAAAUGCGUAGAGAUGUGGAGGAACACCAGUGGCGAGGGCGACUCUCUGGUCUGUAACUGACGCUGAGGAGCGAAAGCGUGGGGAGCGAACAGGAUUAGAUACCCGUGUAGUCCCUGUCUCUUAUAC
RNAcentral lists this ribosomal RNA (301 nucleotides) under uncultured bacterium. RNAcentral's name for it is "partial 16S ribosomal RNA". It matches the Rfam family "Bacterial small subunit ribosomal RNA", at positions 509 to 807 of the family's 1533-position model. The record is from RNAcentral.